GUUAGUCCUCUGACAGACUGGUGACCUGUCCAGGUGUGCUCUACCUAUGACUACUGGGACAGGCUCUAGCUCCUGUAAUAGAAAUUUUAUGUUAUUCUCAUUUAAAGCAUUUAAGUGCUUAUGCAUAUGCUUAGUUGUGACACUGUUAUAGACUGUUCAAUGAAAGUUUCUAAAACUAGAUGAACUUACUUCAGCAGUUUGAGAAAACAACUCCCUUUACAGGUGCUGAUAACGUCAAGGGCACAAAACAGCAUAACCAUUGAUCCGUUAGGUUUCAUAGCGAGACACGUGAAGUGGCAGAGCUGACAUGACUGAACUGUGAUGUUUGAUGUGUGUUUGCUCUCCUGUGCACAGUAAUAAAUAGCAUGAUCACAGCUCUUUCUGUGUUGCAGACUUUAUUAAAAAAAUUCCAUGACAUCUACUAUAACUGAACCAACCUGGUGCUCUUCAUUUAUGGAGGCUGUUGAGUCUGAAUGUUGGAUGUUGUGUAUCUCGUGUUCUCUGGGCUUUGUUGUCCUCAGUCUUUUUGCAGGAUCAGAAAACAAAACCGGGAGGCGCGUAAAUGUUUCUUCUCCAUGAUGUUUCUUCAAAUGUUUCUUCUGGAUGAUGAUAUGACCGUGACACGGGAUGCCACCUUUGGUCUUGUGACGAAGCAAAGCUCAGGAAGAAGUGUGAUUAAAUGAGCAGAGCAGCAGUUUGUGCUCACAGAUGGUGACGGUGUGGAGAGACGGUGGUAUUUCCUCAGAAGAACCAGCAGAGUCACAAAGGACACCAGUCCAUCUCACCACCUUGACUUGCUGACUGAUGUUCGUCUGCACUGCACAGAGGAAAUCAACUGACCGAGGAGCGUUUCUGAGUGA
Molecule: non-coding RNA, 860 nt
Organism: Maylandia zebra (zebra mbuna)
Lineage: Eukaryota; Metazoa; Chordata; Actinopteri; Cichliformes; Cichlidae
Source: RefSeq, a predicted model, not a curated record